AUCAUACGCCAGUCGAGAUUGAUAAAUUUAAAUAUAUUAAUAUGAUGAAAUUCUCUUUGCAGACUUCACAUAAUAACCAGUUAGUUCAUCGUACAGGCUUUAAUUACUGCCUAUAAUAUUUUUUAAUCCCUCAAGUAUCAUGCAAAAUUUGUUCCUUUUUAAAAUUUUAAACGAACACAUGACAAUAAAUAUUUUCGCAUAUCAUCUCUGACAUCGUGGAUGCAGCACUUCCCAAUUAGGUGCCUCAUUUGGAACAUCAUACUAGCUUCAGGGUGCAAACUUCCAUUAUUAUCUCAUCAUAUAUUUUGUUAAUUCUAAUUAAUGUUCGGAACACGCUUACGUUUUAAAAUUUUCGCGUUGUUAAUACAAAAAUAUUUCAUGGAUAUCGGAAAUUUAUCCUAGGACGAAUCUAAUCAUGUCAUAUAUAUGUCUCAUUACAAAAUAUAGAACAAUAAAUUAAAAUGAGUUAACCGGUCUCCGUGUCUGGGUCAGAAUUGUGUCCUCACAUGUGUCAGCAAAUGUGUGGCACAGUACAAUGCCCCGGGUGGAGUCAUUUGGGGGAUUACUAAUGACAAAAAGAUUUCUUAAGUUUUUAAUAUAGGUUUUAGUAAAGACAUAUCGUUAUAAAAUUUUGAUUUAUGAUUCCUAAGAUCUAGUAUUGGUUAAAGGGAGGAUAACUCUCUCGUAUUGUCUGCAGUACUCUUGGACAUUUGCAGGGCUGAGUAAUUACGCUAUUUCUAUUUAUAUUGCUCCUUUGACUGGCUAUCCUACCGUAGUUUAUUUCGUGAUUGUCAUAUGAAGUGGCUGACCCUCGUCCGCAUGAUUCAUGUAAGUAGAACUCAUUGCCCUCGAACGACAGAGCAAUGAUGUCAUAUAAUCCUCUCUAAUCAGACGAAAUGCGUAUUAGGUUAUUAAUUAAGAUAACGGAAAUUAUCAUUAGUGGUUCGGGUCAGUGGGCUUCUAAUGAUAAUAGUGGAACAAGCAAGCACCAUCAAGGAGCUCGAUGCUGGACGCAUUCAUUCAUCAGGAUGACCCAACCAGUACUUAGGAGUAGAGCAAAACACACCAAUGAGUGCAGUCGGAGGAGGCGGUUCGACAAGAUUCUUCCUGCUUCCGAAAACCCGUUCACUGUAAUGUUUCCCUCCAUCAUGUGAAAGACGAACCACAAUUAAAAAUAUUCCACUUUCUACCACCUUAAACAGGGACCUCAUCACCGUUUGAAACGACAGCUGUGCAUGCCAUUUUUAUGACUCGUAAAAAGUUAUAAUCAGAGGCCACCAAGGCCUCCACGUGGCAGUUGUUCUUAUCUUUUCCGAUUUAAAUCCACAGAUGAGUUCCAACUAAUAUUUUCUAUACGUGUGUACCAGCGAAAAAAAAUUGGCACGCCUCAGGGUGCAAUAAAAAUUAUAGAUCUCUGACCAUGACGAAUAAUAAAUUAAUAUAUUCUAACUAAAACCCUCAUUUCGCUAUGUGUAUGCCAGGAAUAGUGUGCUUAAUGUAAGAGUUAGUGUUCGAAUCACAUGAAAGAGUAGUUUUACAGCUGUUCCGCCCAUGUAACAUUUAUUGGUGUACAAACAUCGGUAGCUCCGCCCGAAGUUACACAACAAACAAUUCGACGUUAGUCGGUUCUAGAUUUUUCUUUGUUUGCUUUAUGUGACAACGAUAAGACAGAAUUAAUUAAGAAAAAUUAACACGAUAAAACUAGAACGUAAGAUAGUCAAGAAAUUAUUAAUUACAUAACGUGCUAUUGAAAAUUCAAGUGGCAUAUAUAUUUACUUAUUCUUAUUAGACCUUUCUUUAUCGCUAUUUAAUUAUUUAUUAUGCCUUCCAGUAAAAAUAAUGCAUGAAGGGACGAGAUCGCAAAUUAAUCCCCGCAGACCCGUUUUAAUUAUUCUUGUUCCUAAUAGACGGUCUAUCAUUAUUUACUAGUAAUUAAUAGGCUAUAAUUUGAAUAUACUACUCUAUUCAAAUAGGACAAACGUUAUAACUGUUCGUAAAAUGAACGCAUUUGUUAUCGAUACAAC
Molecule: long non-coding RNA, 2024 nt
Filed under: Androctonus crassicauda
Lineage: Eukaryota; Metazoa; Arthropoda; Arachnida; Scorpiones; Buthidae
Source: RNAcentral